Molecule: ribosomal RNA, 200 nt
Filed under: uncultured bacterium
Lineage: Bacteria
Description: partial 16S ribosomal RNA
Rfam family: Bacterial small subunit ribosomal RNA
Source: RNAcentral
AGAGUUUGAUCCUGGCUCAGAAUCAACGCUGGCGGCGCGCUUAACACAUGCAAGUCGCACGAGAAAGGGGGCAACCCUGAGUAAAGUGGCGUACGGGUGAGUAACACGUGGAUCAUCUACCUUUUAGUGGGGAAUACCUCUGGGAAACCGGAGAUAAUACCGCAUAAGCUCGUAAGAGGAAAGCAGCAAUGCGCUGAAAG